This 605-nucleotide long non-coding RNA is filed under the name Jatropha curcas. RNAcentral's name for it is "long non-coding RNA (JCUR_LNC003014)". Lineage: Eukaryota; Viridiplantae; Streptophyta; Magnoliopsida; Malpighiales; Euphorbiaceae. The record is from RNAcentral.
GGACGGCUCAUCGGGGGUUCGGUGACUCCACUGACUAAUUUCCACGUGAUGUGAUUAUAUGAAGGUGAUAAUAAUUGUGAUUGCUGUUGUAUUGCCAUUUGUGUGACAAAGUGCAUGAUCAUAUAAUUAAACGGUAACCGGAUAAAAAUAUUUUAGCAUCUGUGUGAUUGUGUGGGGUGAGAGGGUUAUCUAACCCUACUCAUUGAGUUUGGCGCUCAUCCCUGCCUACUAUUUUUUUUCCAGGUAAUAGAAAGAAGGGAAAGCCCUAUGGAGUUGAAACACGUAUUAUAGAAGAUUGUUAAUGAUAGAAAUAACGAUGUGAAUGUAAAGGUAGAGUUCCGCAAUUGUAUUCCAGUUGGGUUGUAAAUAAAUAGUAAAAGUCCAUAUUAAAUAUAUGAACUGCAUUUUGGAUGCAUAUGUAUAAAAUGUUAAUGGGCCUGAAUCCAUAAUUAUGAAUAGAAAGUGAGAUUUAAAUAAGUUAGGCUUACUACGGGCUUCGGGGGCCUUAAGCCCACCCAGGUCCUAGUGCCGGUCCGGUCCAUGGAAAUGGGUCGUGACACAUAUAGAAAUUAAAGCAUUGUCAAUAAAAUUUUGAUACUUUUGAA